Non-coding RNA from Pelobates cultripes (western spadefoot toad), 613 nucleotides. The record is from the annotation of a GenBank genome assembly. NCBI's taxonomy places the organism in Eukaryota, Metazoa, Chordata, Amphibia, Anura, Pelobatidae.
UAAAGGCAUGCAAAGAAUCAUGGGAGUUGUAGUUCUACAACAUCUGGUGAUCUACCUUUUGGGCACUUCUGCUGUGGAGCAUAUUAUUCUGCAACAGACUGGGUAACAUGCUGCGAAUGUCUGUACAGAAUUGUAUGCUCUAUAGAAAUACCCCCUUUAAUAUGGAAUAUACAACAGAUCACAUUAACAUGCUGAAUACUAGACUCUUCGAACAGGCUGUAUAAUAACCAGUAAAUAGUAUAACAUUCUAUGACAGCCUGUGUACUAUGUAUUUUAACCUGCUGUUUAGGACAGUAUGCUGUGACAGGCUGUAUUGCAUGCUGUAAAGGGAGUUAUAAAUUAUACUGUGUUGUGACAUACACACUGAGUGUAUGCUUUUCUUAUUUUCCCAUGGAGAAAUGGAUUGGGUUUGGGGAAAGAAAAAAAAGACACUUUACUCCCCAUAAACACACUUGAACAAAAACAAGCAAUCCUGUUGUAAAUCUUGCAGCUUUCCAUGUCACAUCAUCAAACACAUUACCAUCUCUUGGGAAGGAUUUUGUUUAAAAAGCAGCCAUGCCUCCUGAUGUCAUUCUAAUAGAUAUUUGCUUUCUGUAAAUUGAUGUUAUUUCCC